Glycine soja is the source of this 2015-nucleotide long non-coding RNA. RefSeq lists it as uncharacterized. The transcript has 2 exons. NCBI's taxonomy places the organism in Eukaryota, Viridiplantae, Streptophyta, Magnoliopsida, Fabales, Fabaceae. The record is from RefSeq and is a predicted model, not a curated record.
UGGAUAGAAAAGGGGUAAUGUAAACAGAUACUCACUAUCCGAGGAAACGGAUUUUUUAACUAUCCAUUUUUACCUGUCCUCCGGGUACCCGCUAUAUCCUAUCGCACGAUGGCAGAGUGGAUAUCAUAAUACCCUCAUAUAUAUAACGAGUUAGGCUUUGGAAAAAACCGUACUCUUUUCACUCACACUUUGCGCAUGGCGCAGCCCCAGUGCCCCACAGGCCACAGCCUCACUCUCUCACCGCACCGCCACAAAGCACUGCCACCCGGCAACGCACCGCCGCAAAGCAUCGCCGCUCUGCACCCCAUACUUCGACACUGCCAACACUCAACACCGUCAUGACCGCUGCACCGCGCAAAGGGCCGAGGACAACCUCCUCUUCUCACAACCUCGUCAUCACCGCCGCACCCCACACUUCCAACACCGUCACCAAUCUUCUCACAACCUCGAUGCACAUGUACAUCUCCAUUCAAUUUCUAUUUUCUUCUACAAUGUCCUUCGCCCUCCUAAUACUAUGAUUUGGGGGAUUUGAAACUUGGUUCUGGUGUGGAUGAGGUAAUUAGCAAUUUAGCAUUUAGAAUUUGAAACUUGGGGGAUUUGGGAAUUUUAGGGCUAAAGUUUCGAAUUUUGGAUUGGCAAGAGCUGUGGAGGAUCACUGGGAUAAUGGUGGUUUCAAUUGACAAGGCAUUCUGACUAAUAAAAAAAAAGUACACAUCAACGUGGCAUCUCCGCAAUUUUUCUGAUAUUAAUUAAUUUUUCAUUUGUUCUUAAUAGAUUAAAAACGUAAAAAGUACUCAACUGUAGUAUUGACUCGUAAAAUGUAUGUUAUGUAAUCCUUACAUUUUAAUGAGAAAUAUACUUCAUUGUAUAUAAUUAUAUUAUAUAUACUUGCACAUGUUAAAAAUUAACCAACACCAGCACACAACACCUUAAAUCAUGAAUUAAUGCAGAAAGAAGGCACUGUACAAAAAGGGGGAAUGGAAAAGAAAGCAAUCUAUUUCCCCUAAAUGGAACCUGAAAGGGUCUUGCCUGAUAAGCCUAUCGUGAUAUACAUUUGGGAUAUUAUCAGGGCCGCCAGAAAGUUGGGAUUGAUAGCUAGGGGUAGAUGAGUAUAGCUAGCAACUUCUCAAUGACUUGCACUUAAGUUCAGAUUCUGAACAACCAGAAAUGGUUCACAUAUACAACUGACAGGAGAUGAAAGGGAAAAUGAAAUGAACAACAAAGGCAUUGCUUUUCCUGAUUUCUGCUAAGAGUGUGCUUGAGCAUGCUUAGGUUUCUGAUGGCCAAAUCUCCUAUAGCUGAUAGAUAGAUGAUGAUUAGAUGAUCAUUAUGGUAUUGCUCAAUUGCUUCGAUGGAACAAGAUAUUCUUUUUUAAUCUUGUAAUUGCUGAGUUUUCUUUUGGCCUCUUUUUUAAUCCUCUACUACAAAUGUUAAAUUUUCAUGUUUCUCCUGUAUAGCUUUCAUUUUUAUAUUUCCCUCUUAUGAAUUAUUAUACUAUUGAAAUGAAGUAGUCCAUGACCUUAGGUUGAUGGUUUCAUUCAUGGAAAUGGGUCAAAUUUAUAAUGAUUAUUGAGUCUUCAUUUAGUACAUAUGGUCGUAUUCUUACUUCACAUCGUAGUAGAUUACAUCUAGAUACUUUGGAGGCAGAUUGACUUUGGACCGACAUGGAAGGCUCAACUAAAUCUAAGGUGGACAAAAUGUUACUCCAAAAAGUGUUUGAGGAAAUAGUUGAUGAUGUUAGUAUCUUUUUUAUAUAUAUUUCAUUCCAAUUUUAACAAUAUUUAUCGUCAAUGGUUUUAAUUUAUAUGUUUUUUUGUUUCGGGAACAAGUGACCAAAGUGAGGUUGUUGAAGAGUAAAGUUGAAGUUGUUUAGAUUUAAGGAAUUGAAGUUGAACUUCUUUUAUUGGACUUAUGUUGUAGAUAGAUUAAUUUUAUUUGAACCAAUGUUUUAAAGAGACUAAUCUUAUUUGAAUUUAUGCUUUAAUGUUAUUUGAAUUUAUGUUUGAGUUAUGCAA